CGUAGGGUGCAAGCGUUGUCCGGAAUUAUUGGGCGUAAAGAGCUCGUAGGCGGUCUGUCGCGUCGGCUGUGAAAACUCGGGGCUCAACCCCGAGCCUGCAGUCGAUACGGGCAGACUAGAGUGCUGUAGGGGAGACUGGAAUUCCUGGUGUAGCGGUGAAAUGCGCAGAUAUCAGGAGGAACACCGGUGGCGAAGGCGGGUCUCUGGGGCAGUAACUGACGCUGAGGAGCGAAAGCGUGGGGAGCGAACAGGAUU
Molecule: ribosomal RNA, 255 nt
Filed under: uncultured bacterium
Lineage: Bacteria
Description: partial 16S ribosomal RNA
Rfam family: Bacterial small subunit ribosomal RNA
Source: RNAcentral